This 72-nucleotide transfer RNA is filed under the name Nonomuraea soli. RNAcentral's name for it is "Nonomuraea sp. YIM 120770 tRNA". It matches the Rfam family "tRNA". Rfam says of the family: Transfer RNA (tRNA) molecules are approximately 80 nucleotides in length. Their secondary structure includes four short double-helical elements and three loops (D, anti-codon, and T loops). The record is from Rfam by way of RNAcentral. Lineage: Bacteria; Bacillati; Actinomycetota; Actinomycetes; Streptosporangiales; Streptosporangiaceae.
CGCUCGGUGGUGCAAGGGUGGCACGCAGGCCUCAUAAGCCUGAGGUUCGGGGUUCGAGUCCCUGCCGAGCGA